UACGUAGGGGGCUAGCGUUGUCCGGAAUCAUUGGGCGUAAAGCGCGUGUAGGCGGCUCGCUAAGUCCGCUGUGAAAGUCGAGGGCUCAACCCUCGGAUGCGGGUGGAUACUGCCGGGCUAGAGUACGGAAGAGGCGAGUGGAAUUCCUGGUGUAGCGGUGAAAUGCGCAGAUAUCAGGAGGAACACCAAUUGCGAAGGCAGCUCGCUGGGACGUUACUGACGCUGAGACGCGAAAGCGUGGGGAGCAAACAGG
Molecule: ribosomal RNA, 253 nt
Filed under: uncultured bacterium
Lineage: Bacteria
Description: partial 16S ribosomal RNA
Rfam family: Bacterial small subunit ribosomal RNA
Source: RNAcentral